AUUGAACGCUGGCGGCAUGCUUUACACAUGCAAGUCGAACGGCAGCGCGGGCUUCGGCCUGGCGGCGAGUGGCGAACGGGUGAGUAAUACAUCGGAACGUGCCCAGUAGUGGGGGAUAGCUCGGCGAAAGCCGGAUUAAUACCGCAUACGACCUGAGGGUGAAAGCGGGGGAUCUUCGGACCUCGCGCUAUUGGAGCGGCCGAUGGCAGAUUAGCUAGUUGGUGGGGUAAAGGCCUACCAAGGCGACGAUCUGUAGCUGGUCUGAGAGGACGACCAGCCACACUGGGACUGAGACACGGCCCAGACUCCUACGGGAGGCAGCAGUGGGAAUUUUGGACAAUGGGCGAAAGCCUGAUCCAGCAAUGCCGCGUGUGUGAUGAAGGCCUUCGGGUUGUAAAGCACUUUUGGCGGGAACGAAAAGGACUGUGCCAAUACCACGGUUCGAUGACGGUACCCGCAGAAUAAGCACCGGCUAACUACGUG
RNAcentral lists this ribosomal RNA (483 nucleotides) under uncultured bacterium. Its description in RNAcentral is "partial 16S ribosomal RNA". It matches the Rfam family "Bacterial small subunit ribosomal RNA", at positions 29 to 507 of the family's 1533-position model. The record is from RNAcentral.